Molecule: unclassified non-coding RNA, 288 nt
Filed under: uncultured fungus
Lineage: Eukaryota; Fungi
Description: sequence contains ITS1
Source: RNAcentral
GGACUACUCGGGUUUCUAAUCCCUUUCGCUCCCCUAGCUUUCGUCCCUCAGCGUCAGUUGUGGCCCAGUAGAGCGCCUUCGCCACUGGUGUUCUUCCCGAUAUCUACGCAUUUCACCGCUACACCGGGAAUUCCCUCUACCCCUACCACACUCAAGUCUCUCAGUUUCCAUUGCCGAUCCACAGUUAAGCUGUGGGCUUUGACAACAGACUUAAAAAACCGCCUGCGGACGCUUUACGCCCAAUAAUUCCGGAUAACGCUUGCCUCCUCCGUCUUACCGCGGCUGCUG